AUUUACUGGGCGUAAAGGGCGCGUAGGCGGUCUUGUAAGUCUUCUGUAAAAUCUCCCGGCUCAACUGGGAGGAUGUAGAGGAUACUAUUGGACUUGAGGACAGCAGGGGGAGGAGGAAUUCCCGGUGGAGCGGUGAUAUGCGUAGGUAUCGGGAAGAACACCAGUGGCGAAGGCGACCUCCUGGGCUGUUCCUGACGCUGAGGCGCGAAAGCGUGGGGAGCAAACAGGAUUAGAUACCCUGGUAGUCCACGCUGCAAACGAUGGACACUAGGUAUGGGGAGUAUCGACCCUCUCCGUGCCGAAGCUAACACAUUAAGUGUCCCGCCUGGGGAUUACGGCCGCAAGGCUAAAAUUCAAAGGAAUUGACGGGGGCUCGCACAAGCAGCGGAGCGUGUGGUUUAAUUCGAUAAUACGCGAAGAACCUUACCAGGGCUUGACAUGCUAGUAGUAGGAACCCGAAAGGGGGACGAUCCGUCUUUGGCGGAAGCUAGCACAGGUGCUGCAUGGCUGUCGUCAGCUCGUGUCGUGAGGUGUUGGGUUAAGUCCCGCAACGAGCGUAACCCUUGCUCUGUGUUGCUCUCUCACAGGGGACUGCCCCGCAAAACGGGGAGGAAGGUGGGGAUAACGUCAAGUCAGCAUGGCCCUUAAGCCCUGGGCAACACACACGCUACAAUGGUUGGUACAAAGGGAAGCGAAGGAGCGAUCUGAAGCUAAUCUCGUAAAACCAAUCCCAGUCCGGAUUGGAGGCUGAAAUUUGCCUCCAUGAAGCUGGAGCUGC
Molecule: ribosomal RNA, 778 nt
Filed under: uncultured bacterium
Lineage: Bacteria
Description: bacterial SSU rRNA
Rfam family: Bacterial small subunit ribosomal RNA
Source: RNAcentral